RNAcentral lists this ribosomal RNA (253 nucleotides) under uncultured bacterium. RNAcentral's name for it is "partial 16S ribosomal RNA". It matches the Rfam family "Bacterial small subunit ribosomal RNA", at positions 524 to 776 of the family's 1533-position model. The record is from RNAcentral.
UACGGAGGGUGCGAGCGUUAAUCGGAAUUACUGGGCGUAAAGCGUGCGUAGGCGGAUUGUUAAGCGAGAUGUGAAAGCCCCAGGCUCAACCUGGGAACUGCAUUUCGAACUGGCAGUCUAGAGUUUUGUAGAGGGCGGUGGAAUUUCCAGUGUAGCGGUGAAAUGCGUAGAGAUUGGAAGGAACAUCAGUGGCGAAGGCGGCCACCUGGACAAAAACUGACGCUGAGGCACGAAAGCGUGGGGAGCAAACAGG